Molecule: small RNA, 109 nt
Filed under: Tenacibaculum sp. SG-28
Lineage: Bacteria; Pseudomonadati; Bacteroidota; Flavobacteriia; Flavobacteriales; Flavobacteriaceae
Description: 6S-Flavo RNA
Rfam family: 6S-Flavo RNA
Source: Rfam by way of RNAcentral
ACUCAACACUAUUAGAUUAAAAAGGAUAAGUCUUGAUUAGUAAAGUGUGCCAGCUCUGUUCUGGAUCCUUGAGGAAUCAGUUAGUCCUAAACCUGUUUAACAGGAGUUU